UAGGGAAUCUUCCACAAUGGGCGAAAGCCUGAUGGAGCAACGCCGCGUGUGUGANGAAGGGUUUCGGCUCGUAAAACACUGUUGUAAGAGAAGAAUGACAUUGAGAGUAACUGUUCAAUGUGUGACGGUAUCUUACCAGAAAGGAACGGCUAAAUACGUGCCAG
Molecule: ribosomal RNA, 164 nt
Filed under: uncultured bacterium
Lineage: Bacteria
Description: partial 16S rRNA
Rfam family: Bacterial small subunit ribosomal RNA
Source: RNAcentral